CGUUUCUAACUGCAGGCAAUACGCCCCUCCUCGCCCAACAAUGGUUCCCAACUGCAUUACGCAUACGGUCGGGGGGCCAGAGGAACAAUCCACACAGACGUCAUAUUAUUACAUACCUCCCAACUGUCCCGAUUUCAGCGGGACAGUCCCACUAUUCGGACACUGUCCCGCUGUCCCUCCCGCGGGUCGCAGUGUCCCGCGGGCGGGGGAGCAGUUGGUGGAGGCUUUGAUCACCCGCUGCUCUGCAAAGUAGCCGGUGAUCACUGAAUAGAUGCCGUGCGCAGGUGCACGGUAUCUAUUCAAUGCUGGGAGGGGAGCAGGGGGCUGCCCAGCUGCUCUGGGAGAGCUGGCCACGCCCCCAAAAUGCCGAAAAUGGGUCCGAGGCGCUCGCCCACGCCCCCUUUUUGGGUCGCGCGCGGCUUUGCUGCGCAGGGGUCCCUCUUCCUCCCCCUUCAAAGUUGGAAGUGCAAAGUAUAAAGUGGUCCAAUCCUCACCAGAAAAAGCCCAAACCUUCUCGCGGGGAGGGGAAGAAAUGUUUUCUGUUAUUUCCCAGCUAAUGAAGGACCUCUCUGCACUGUGCAAGUCAGUGGGGGCCUGUGCUGAAAAGCCAGAAGCUGUGACUGGUGGGCCAUUGCUAAUCAUUAAAGAUCCAUGAUAACAAGUCAGGAGAACAGGAAGAAAAGUGACACAAACAGAUUGCAUGGAAGGUCGGACAACCCCUGUACAAUGACGGCUAAUGAAUACAGCACUCAUCAGAUGUAAAUUCCACCGUCACUUAAAUCUCAAACAGAAAAGGACGAAGAAACAGCAAUCAAGCCGUUUCCGCAUAAGGCAGGUGACAGGGGUCUGCAGACAGUAUUCAGCUCUAUCCAGGCACCUGUACUAGGCCAUAAUUAUCAUCAAGGCUGAUCUAUCCUCUCACCGUACAUUCUGCCUUCCCAGAGCCGCUGACAGACCAGAGCAGGACACUGGAGCCCAUCUGCCACUGCACUGAAGAGAAGGGACAAUAGGACUUUGUCACAUGGAAGAAGAUGACGCUGUGAGGGUGCUUGUUUGUAUGCGGAUAGAUAACUCACUUUACAAUAAGGGGUUUGGAAUUUUAUUCUUCCCAGGAACAUUUAUCCAUAAAUAAAUAUAUACAUUUCU
Long non-coding RNA from Pseudophryne corroboree (corroboree frog), 1146 nucleotides. RefSeq lists it as uncharacterized. The record is from RefSeq and is a predicted model, not a curated record. Lineage: Eukaryota; Metazoa; Chordata; Amphibia; Anura; Myobatrachidae. The transcript is spliced from 4 exons.